Molecule: ribosomal RNA, 408 nt
Filed under: Triticum aestivum (bread wheat)
Lineage: Eukaryota; Viridiplantae; Streptophyta; Magnoliopsida; Poales; Poaceae
Description: partial small subunit ribosomal RNA
Source: RNAcentral
AUGGCUGCUAAGAAUGUUCUAGCUGCUGCGGCGGCGACACCGUCAGUUCCUGCUUUCAGGGCACCCUACUGCAAAUACACCUUCUGGAUCGGGUAUGUAUCAUAUGGCAUCGUCCUCGCACCGUGGCGCGCUGCGCCGGAGACAUGGACGAGGUUGAGCAGUAUGUGCCUUCGUCCUCUUCUCUCAGAGUGUGGGGCCGAGGAUAAGGACGAGGAGAAGAAAUAUGUGGCAUCUUCAUUGUUGUCCUCUUGGCGCGCGGUGCUGGAGAGACAGAAAAGGAGGCCGAGAGCUGGAAGUGCGCCAUAUUGUAGUGUUUUGUUUGAUGGGGAAAUAUCUUUGUAUGCCAGCAUAUAUUGUAGUGGUUUGUUUGAUGGGAACUACCUUUGUAUGCCUGCAUAUUUUGCUUAG